GGGAGCUAUGAUACCAGCACUAAUGUACCGGAUCCCAUCAGAACUCUACAGUUAAGCGUGCUUGGAUGAGAGUAGUACUAGGAUGGGUGGCCUCCUAGGAGGUCCUCGUGUUGCACCCC
This is a ribosomal RNA of Gossypium raimondii (Peruvian cotton), 119 nucleotides long. The record is from RefSeq and is a predicted model, not a curated record. NCBI's taxonomy places the organism in Eukaryota, Viridiplantae, Streptophyta, Magnoliopsida, Malvales, Malvaceae.